UCUCUCUCUCUCUCUCUCUCUCUCUCUCUCUCUCUCUCUCUGUGUGUGUGUGUGUGUGUGUGUGUGAGACAGAGACAGAGAAAAGAGAGAGAGAGAGAGAGAGAGAGAGA
RNAcentral lists this microRNA precursor (110 nucleotides) under Marmota monax (woodchuck). The record is from RNAcentral. Lineage: Eukaryota; Metazoa; Chordata; Mammalia; Rodentia; Sciuridae.